Molecule: long non-coding RNA, 203 nt
Filed under: Vigna radiata
Lineage: Eukaryota; Viridiplantae; Streptophyta; Magnoliopsida; Fabales; Fabaceae
Description: long non-coding RNA (VRAD_LNC016621)
Source: RNAcentral
AAAUUGAAAGAAGUGAGGUCUCUUAGGUGAGGCUUGGACUUUGGAUCCAAGACACACUCACCGUCUACCAAUUUUAAUGAAGAAUUAAGAGCAAAAAAAAUUUACAAGUGAUGGAAGAACACUUGUGAAUUCUUCCAAGUCACUUGCUUAAUGGCCAUUUACAAGUACUUUUGCAAAACAAAUGACUUGAAACAACAAAGAAG